UCCGGUUUAUCACCGGCAGUCUCCUUAGAGUCCCCGACAUGACUCGCUGGCAACUAAGGAUAGGGGUUGCGCUCGUUACGGGACUUAACCCAACAUCUCACGACACGAGCUGACGACAGCCAUGCAGCACCUCUAGAGUAGUCCGGUAAAGGACAUUGACAUCUCUGCCAACUUCCACUCCAGUUCAAGCCCAGGUAAGGUUCUUCGCGUUGCGUCGAAUUAAUCCACAUAAUCCACCGCUUGUGCGGGUCCCCGUCAAUUCCUUUGAGUUUUAACCUUGCGGCCGUACUCCCCAGGCGGUCGACUUCACGCGUUAGCUUCGUUACUGAGAGUGUCAAACCCCCAACAACCAGUCGACAUCGUUUAGGGCGUGGACUAC
This 379-nucleotide unclassified non-coding RNA is filed under the name uncultured bacterium. RNAcentral describes it as "contains 16S-23S intergenic spacer region". The record is from RNAcentral.